UACGUAGGUGGCAAGCGUUGUCCGGAUUUACUGGGCGUAAAGAGCGCGCAGGCGGUCGUGCAAGUCGCGUGUGAAAGCCCCCGGCUCAACUGGGGAGGGUCACGCGAUACUGUUCGACUCGAAGGCAGGAGAGGGAAGCAGAAUUCCCGGUGUAGUGGUGAAAUGCGUAGAUAUCGGGAGGAACACCAGUGGCGAAGGCGACUUCCUGGCCUGUUCUUGACGCUGAGGCGCGAAAGCUAGGGUAGCAAACGGG
Molecule: ribosomal RNA, 253 nt
Filed under: uncultured bacterium
Lineage: Bacteria
Description: partial 16S ribosomal RNA
Rfam family: Bacterial small subunit ribosomal RNA
Source: RNAcentral